RNAcentral lists this ribosomal RNA (594 nucleotides) under Triticum aestivum (bread wheat). RNAcentral describes it as "partial small subunit ribosomal RNA". Lineage: Eukaryota; Viridiplantae; Streptophyta; Magnoliopsida; Poales; Poaceae. The record is from RNAcentral.
GAUGCCCCUGAUAAGAUUACUUGGAAAUUCACUAUGGACGACACCUACUCAGCUAAGUGAGCCUACAAUGCACAAUUUGAAGGACACACACGCUCACCCAUGCAUGUGACUGUUUGGAAAUCAUGGGCGCCGCUGAAAAGCAAAUUUUUUGACUGGCUCGUGAUGCAAACCAGAGUUUGGACUGCUGAUAGACUUGAGCGUCGUGGAUGGCCAAACUACAGUCUCUGUCCCCUCUGUAAGCAAACUAGGGAAUCCUCCACGCAUCUUCUUUGAUACUGUCAUUUUUAAGUAAGGGUGUGGUGCGACAUUGUCCAGUGGCUCGGGCUCCAAGACGUCAUCCCUAUGGAGUGGAGCACUCCUACUUCGGUGAAAGACUGGUGGCUCUGGAUCGCCCAAUCAAGGACCCCUUCACGGUCAGCGGUGACCUCCCUUUUGAUGCUCAUCUCUUGGGAGAUUUGGAAGGAGUGCAAUGCGAGAGUCUUCCGCAACUCGGCAACCCCCAUCACGGUGCUAGUGCGAAACAUUAAGGACAAAGUUAGAUUACGGGUGAUGGCGGGAGCGAAAAACUUGGGUGUUGUAAUGUCGCGAGAGUGA